RNAcentral lists this long non-coding RNA (2019 nucleotides) under Pan troglodytes (chimpanzee). Its description in RNAcentral is "long non-coding RNA NONPTRT000048". The record is from RNAcentral. Lineage: Eukaryota; Metazoa; Chordata; Mammalia; Primates; Hominidae.
GGCUGCAGCGCCUGGGAGAAGGCAGACAGUGUGAGGGGGCCUGUGGCCCCAGCGUGCUGUGGCCUCCGGGAGUGGGAAGUGGAGGCAGGAGCCUUCCUUACACUUCGCCAUGAGUUUCCUGAUCGACUCCAGCAUCAUGAUUACCUCCCAGAUACUAUUUUUUGGAUUUGGGUGGCUUUUCUUCAUGCGCCAAUUGUUUAAAGACUAUGAGGACGGGAGGCCAAGGGGCUGGGAUGGCAGGUGCCAUGAACAGCGAGCUCCCAGAGUUGGCCAAAAGCACAGCGGAGGUGCAAAUCCAGCAGCCUGACUGGGCCAAAACUGUGGCUGGUGAUGAUGGCAGGUAUGCGUCCUGCAACAGUAGAAGGUGAGAGAGGCAGGUAUACCGAGGUCUUGGAGGAACACAGCCAGCUAUCAACUUCAGUCCUCACUCUGUGGCUGCCAACACAGUCUUUGAGGUCAGUAGAAAGAAUCUAACACACACUCCGUGGCUUUUCUUCCCAGAAACCUCCUUCUUUCAGCCCUGUCCCCCUAAUGCCCAGGCAUUCCUGUGGCCUCCCUCUCCCUGACUUUUGUUUAGAGAUCGUGGUCCUUUGGGAUCAACCCUGAUGAGGCCUGGGUUGCCCUGACCAGUGCUAGAUUUAGGGAAUCUUUUAUCAUACCUCACUUUGGGGUCAGCUUGGGAUUCAAAGAACCAAAAGGUAGCAGAGGGAUUUGAGAAAUGCUUAAGGAGUGAAACUGUCAUGACUUGGUGAUGAUGAAAGUUGGGGAGGCACCAGUGGGAAGAAGACUUUGGCUUGGUCUUUGUCUUGGCUAACCACUGCCCCUGGGUGAGUUCUGGUGACAUUGAAGGCUUUACCUGCCCAUGGUCGUAGCCGAAGGCCACAGGGCCAAGGUCUUCCUUUGAUGCCCCUCCACACCCUCUGGUUCCCUCAGAGAGAAAGUUUCUUCCUCUGGCUUCCCAUGAGAACUGGGCCCUUUCUCCGGCCCCAACCGGGCAGCGGGAGCUGAUUCCCACAUUCCAGCCUUAGGCUAAGGUCCUUCUGAUAUUGCAAAGAUAUCCCAGAACUGUGGGAUCCCGAGCUGCAAAUACCCCAGAUGGCUGAAGCGCUCUUAACUGUACUACAUUUAACAAAUUCACUGGACUGCCCCCCUGCAGACCACACCACCACCCUGUGCUCGCCCUGUCCUUCCAGUGGCCGGCUGCUUGGCAGACAGCCUGUGCCCUUCUGCUCCCACUGGAAUGUGCAGCUCAUCAUGAAGAGUUGAAUAAGACAUGGGUCUCAUUCAAAAGACCCCUCCAAAAAGAUACAGUGAGCUCCUAACCCCUGGAACCUAUAAAUGGGACCAUAUUUGGAAAUAGGGUCUUUACAGAUGCAAACAAGUUAAGAAGGGUCCUACUGGAUUAGAGCAGACCUUAAUCCAACAUAUAUGACUGGUGUCCUUGUAAGAAGAGGAGAAGACACGCAGAGACAGCUGCACGGCACUGUGCAUGGUAGUGUCUGCAUGACAAUGUGUGUGAGCUUGCGUGUGUGUGUGUAUGCACUUUAUGGGGUAUGCUGUGUUGUGAGGGGGGCUCUCUGUGGUGUGACUGGUGUCCUUAUAUGACUGGUGUCCUUAUAAGAAGAGGGGAAGACACACAGAGACAGCCGCACACAAGGAGAAGGCCAUGUGAGGGUGGAGAUGGAGACCGGGGUGAUGUUUUUACAGCCAAGAAACAGAAAGAAUUGUGGUAGACGGACAUGGAACAGAUUGGAGCCUCCGGAAGGAACCAACCCAGCAGUCCAGGGAACCUCUUCACUUGGACUUCUGGCAUCUAGAACAAAUAUCUGUUGCUCUAAGCCUCCUGGUUAGUGGUACCUGUUAGGGCAGCCCCAGGAAGCUAAUGCACCAACCCAGAGUCCUCUGUGUUUUGUUCCCAAACCUGCUUAUACCAGUUGCCUUUGUUAUUGUAAUGAGGUAAUUGAGUUAAACGUUACAUAAGCCCAUCGCUCUAAGUAUGAAAAGAGAGCUGCAGCUCUG